AUAUUUGUACCUUGAACUGUAUACCAAUAGUAUUUCUUUGGACUCUUUCUCCAGUCAUUGAGAGAUACGCUGCACUCAGCUCCACGCUCCCUUACUUUCCCUUAAAUUAUCUCAAACUUCUCAUCUUUUCUUUAAUUUUUCAAUUACAAGAUCUGAACUCUUUAAAAGCAUGGUAUUAGAUUUACCAAAAACUUUGUGUUAACUAUUGAUGAUGGAGAAGGUUACCAAAUCAAAGCUGAGAAGAUCCGUGCUGGUUCUAUGUGACUUUUGCAACUCAAAGCCAGCGGUUUUGUACUGCAUAGCUGACUCUGCAAAGCUCUGCUUGUUCUGUGACCAACAAGUCCACUCUGCCAAUGCUCUAUCUCUCAAGCAUGCUCGUUCACAGAUCUGCGACGGUUGCAAAACCAAACCAGCUUCUUUUCUUUGCUCAAAUGAUAAUCUUAUACUCUGCCAAGACUGUGAUUGGAAUUCACAUAGCAGCAACUGUUCUGUUUCAGCUCUGCACGAGCGUUCUCCAGUUGAAAGGUUCUCAGGUUGUCCUUCAGUGACUGAAUUAGCUUCUCUUUUGGGAUUGGAUUUAAAACCAAAAGAUUUGAUGAAUUUGGAUCCAGGGUUUUCUUUAUACGAGCAAGAACUGAUGAAUCUGGAAGAUUUUAUGGUCCCAAAUGAGAAUUCCUCUGUUUCCUCUGCUUUGCUAAGCUCUGUUAAGCUUAACCAUGAGGUGUAUAGACAACUGGUUGAGAUGGGGAAGAGAGAUUUGGUGAGAGUAAGUGGUGAUGGAGCUGAAUUGGGGCCAGGGACGCCGCCUAGUAGAAGUGCUGAGAAGGGGAAUUUAGGGAGUUUUGAGGUGGAAAAUGGGGAUGAUGAAGAACUGCUGCACCAGCAAACCUCGUUUACCUCUUUGCUAAUGCUGCAAAACAAUGUGGCCUUAAGAAAAACUGAUUAUGUCGCUGAAGGAGAGCUUAUCUGGGACUAUAACUCUUCUUAUCAGGCUUCCAAGAUAUGGGAUUUUCAAUCAGGAAGGUUAAGAGACUGUGAAGAAUCCCGUCCAGAAGAUGCAGGUUGCAAGAAUAGCAUAAGCAGUCGCGGUUUUGUGAUUAAGAACUAUGAUGAGUUUGCUAAGGAAGGUUCCCUGUCAGAAACUAAAGUCUUUCAAGACAUGGACCAGAUGAGCCUCUCCAUGAAAUGUGAGGAUACCUUGUCCAGGAGUAGCCGCUGCAAUCAACCAUUCUCAAGCUACACAGCAACAACUGAAGAAAGUAACCAUGUGCCAGUAGUUGGAUCAUCAUCAGAUUCCAAGGUGGUUGAACCCCUAGAACGCGAUAGUACUAGAUAUGUCCAGGUCAUGAAACAUCCGGUUCUGGCCGGUGGUGAGUCUAUGAAUGAGGAAAAAGCUAAGGUUGACAUGGAACUGCUGGCACAAAACAGAGGCAAUGCCAUGUUACGGUACCAGGAGAAGAAGAAACAUAGGAGAUAUGACAAGCACAUACGCUAUGAGUCAAGGAAGGCCAGGGCUGAUACUAGAAAGAGAUUCAAAGGUCGCUUUGUGAAGGCAAGUGAAGCUCCAGAUGUUAAGGUGUAAGGGCUGUUUUUUCCUUUUUGGAUAACAUGUGUUCCUUCUGAAGUCCCUGUCUGUAAAUAUUUCUUCCCCUAGUUUGUCUACAGGAUUAUUGUAGCUCCCCUAUGUCAUAAAGGAGAAAAAUCUUUGCCCCAACUUUUGCAUUUCGUUAGCUGUAAGUUAAGAUAUAUGUAUGCAAUUACACAGUUUUUGACUGCAUGCUCCUAUAUUCGAUGGAUAGUUAUUAGCUAUAAAUGCGCAGGAGUAAGUACUGGUAAUAAAUGAAACCAUACAACUAUUAAAUUAUUUGUAUUUUGAAUACAAAUAUAAGAAGAGUCUCUUCAUCUAUUUUCACUUGGUCUUAGAUUGAAUGUUCGUCUUAAAAAUUCAACAUGAUAUCAAAGCAAAUCUUGUGUCUAUUGGUUGGUCACUCACAGAUCUUCUUCCAUGAUUUGUACCAUAUGAGUAUCCAAAUGGUGAUAAAAUGAAUAUUUAAAGAUAUCUUAAUUAUAUAAAUAUAACAAGAAUUGAUUCACGUAUUGUUAAUUAAUUUUAAGUUAGAUGUUAGUUGUUAAUUGAUUUUAGGUUGGAUGUGAGUUUUAAAAAUUCAAAAAGGGCUACUUGCCUAGGCUUUCUAUAUUUAGUAUUUUGGCAAGCUGAAAGUUUAUAAUCACUAUAAAUAUAGCUUCUGCAGAACAAAUAUGCUUUAACAAAUAUGCACUUAAAGACUUGAAACAUUACUUUUAACCAUUUUGGUUCAGCAACCAAUGAAGAGUCUUUCCAUGAUUCGAGUCUUUCAAGUGCAAUAAUGGUGCUGAUGGAAUUGAGUUACUUGCACAUUUCUACAAUCUUGUAAAGAGUUGAAGAGCUCAUUUAGGAACCAGUGAAUCUAAUGUGCUAAUUCCCAACGGUUGCUCUUGGAAAAACUUUCCGAGCCCUCAAAAUCCCAGAAGUAAACGCAAAUCACACAAAUGUACCCCUGCAACAUUGGCUUUCACCGUUUCUGGUAUUGCUGGGAUCUGCAGUUUAUCUCGUGGUGGAAUCAACACCAGAUCAAUCCGAGUUUUAUGUAAACCCUAUCUACGCAAUUAUAAUUCUAUAUGUCAACCUCACUAAUCUUAUCUCAAAUAAUUCUACAAAGGGCUUUGUCAACAGGUAACUUUCACCUGUAUCAAAGUUGUUUUCUGAUUUAAUUGCUCGCUGCCCACAUCCCUAUGUCAUAGGAGAGUGAUUUGAAUGUAGCCCAUUUCGACCACUGCAGAGUAGAUUCGAAGAAUUAAAUAAAAAAGGGUGAUUUGGCAAAUCAACGGUUGCAAUUUCUCAGGAAAAGGCGUAGUUAAGGAAAGGGCAAACCAAACAUGUAACACCAGUUGUCAUUUGGUCCAGCCAUCAAGCUUGGUCCCCACGUGCACAGUUCAAACAGCCAUAAUUUAAACUCAUCGACACCAACUACCAAACUCCUUCAAGAAAAGUCCAGACUUGACCUUCAAUGGAAACCCAUCACAAUCCUUGUAUUGCAGGAUAUUUUCUUAUAGAAAGGAGAAAUUUUAUAUUAUAAUUAAGAAAAAAUCAAGUCAACAGAAUGUAACAAA
Molecule: non-coding RNA, 3150 nt
Organism: Theobroma umbraticum
Lineage: Eukaryota; Viridiplantae; Streptophyta; Magnoliopsida; Malvales; Malvaceae
Source: RefSeq, a predicted model, not a curated record